Molecule: transfer RNA, 70 nt
Filed under: Podarcis lilfordi (Lilford's wall lizard)
Lineage: Eukaryota; Metazoa; Chordata; Lepidosauria; Squamata; Lacertidae
Description: tRNA.Ala
Rfam family: tRNA
About the family: Transfer RNA (tRNA) molecules are approximately 80 nucleotides in length.
Source: RNAcentral
GCCGUAGCUCAGAUGGUAGAGCGUUUGCUUGGCAUGCAGAAGGUCCUGGGUUCAAUUCCUGGCAACUCCA